AGGGACACUUCUUCCUCUGGUCUCCAAAUUUACUGAAAUUACCUCUUAAACAAAAAAAUAUGAAAAGGUUAGAGUUAGAAUAUUUUUCUAGAAGGAGAACCUAGUUUAUUAUUUUCUGUCAUUCAUUAUAAAUUAGAGCCACACCUUGGUGAUUGGGAGAGCUGCAUGCCAACAUGGUCAAACUGGCUGUAAGGAGGAAGGGCUACUUGGAGUGAAGUUGAGAAGGCUUCCACCCCAAAUACUUGUCUACAGCUAUCACUAGUCUAUAUAAAAACCCCUUCACAGCAAGCACUGUAGGACUAUAUGGAACUUGCUUAUACAUCAGUGAAAUUGUCCUUCAAUAUACGCCUGUGGGUUGGAACUACUACUACCAUUUGCAUUUCUCACGUUAACCCUCCCUAGCAUUCAUACUCCUCUUAACUUCAGGCUAAACUGAAAGGUGACAGCAAGGCUGCAUUUUUGUUGGAUCAAACUGUUCCAGUCUGAGAAAUAAGAAAUUACAAAUAUCUCUUUACCUCUCUUCCCAGGGAGUCAGCUCCAGUGUUACCUAGAAAUAAAUCAGAUAUGGAUCCUUCACUACAUGAGAGGUGAAGUUGAAAAUGUUAACCAUUUCCAGUGAUAAAAAGGAAACUGAUCUUGGCUCUGCGGGUUCAGAGUUGUCUGUCAACAUUGUCAAGAUGCAGUUGGAGGUCCAAAACAUCUCUCGAAGACUAGACUACAUCAAAAGUCUAGAAGAUAAUGUGCUUCACAAAGCAACAGGUCAAAACAGUUUUAUUUAAAUUUGAAAAAUAUGCAACACUUACCAGAUAGACUCAACAGGGCCAAGGCACUGAGAAGAAAG
RNAcentral lists this long non-coding RNA (841 nucleotides) under Homo sapiens (human). Its description in RNAcentral is "HSALNT0095930". The record is from RNAcentral. Lineage: Eukaryota; Metazoa; Chordata; Mammalia; Primates; Hominidae.